Molecule: long non-coding RNA, 486 nt
Filed under: Equus caballus (horse)
Lineage: Eukaryota; Metazoa; Chordata; Mammalia; Perissodactyla; Equidae
Description: lncRNA (ENSECAG00000048327.1)
Source: RNAcentral
CUCCACCUUUGGGCAAGAUGGCUGCGCCCACUGGCUUUGCCGGGAGGGAGGGGCUGCUAUUCUCACGCGCCGAUCUGGAUUCAGAUCAGUUCUGUUCUCUGGUCUCCCGAGGCCCUGGGUUUAUGGGGUCCCCACGGACGGAAGCUUUCCCCCCAUCAGUGGGUUUCCACUGAACCAGCGGCAGGAGUCCUGGAUGAUCCCCCGGUCGCGCGGCCCCUCCCCCACUCCUUCGUGACCCACGCCGCAGCCAUCGCAGACUCUAGGGGAGGGAGCAAUGUUCUCUCCUAUCGUUCCAGCACCUCCAAGGCCAAAAUAACACAUUGGUUAUAGACGAAGCUCUCCGUGUGCCCUUUCCAGACUCCACUUCCCUCUCUCCUCCUCCUAUGAUCUGGCUCCUGAACUUGGAAUGGAGCACAAGCUGAGAAGGGGGCUUCUCUGAAUUCCAGGGGAGGCAACAAGAUCUUGAUUUCCUUCUCACUUAUCUAC